AGUGAACGCUGGCGGUAGGCCUAACACAUGCAAGUCGAACGGCAGCACAGUAAGAGCUUGCUCUUACGGGUGGCGAGUGGCGGACGGGUGAGGAAUACAUCGGAAUCUACUUUUUCGUGGGGGAUAACGUAGGGAAACUUACGCUAAUACCGCAUACGACCUACGGGUGAAAGCAGGGGAUCUUCGGACCUUGCGCGAUUGAAUGAGCCGAUGUCGGAUUAGCUAGUUGGCGGGGUAAAGGCCCACCAAGGCGACGAUCCGUAGCUGGUCUGAGAGGAUGAUCAGCCACACUGGAACUGAGACACGGUCCAGACUCCUACGGGAGGCAGCAGUGGGGAAUAUUGGACAAUGGGCGCAAGCCUGAUCCAGCCAUACCGCGUGGGUGAAGAAGGCCUUCGGGUUGUAAAGCCCUUUUGUUGGGAAUGAAAAGCAGCAGGUUAAUACCCCGCUGUUCUGACGGUACCCAAAGAAUAAGUACCGGCUAACUUCGUG
This 492-nucleotide ribosomal RNA is filed under the name uncultured bacterium. RNAcentral's name for it is "partial 16S ribosomal RNA". It matches the Rfam family "Bacterial small subunit ribosomal RNA", at positions 29 to 507 of the family's 1533-position model. The record is from RNAcentral.